UUGGUGCACUUUGGUAGUAAGGGGGUGUUUGGUUCAAGUUAUAUAAUAUAACUAAGGUUAUAUUUACUUGGGGAAUAUAAGAUUUUCAGGUUUAGUUCAGGUUAUGUAAUUUUUUCA
Molecule: long non-coding RNA, 117 nt
Organism: Ipomoea nil (Japanese morning glory)
Lineage: Eukaryota; Viridiplantae; Streptophyta; Magnoliopsida; Solanales; Convolvulaceae
Exons: 3
Source: RefSeq, a predicted model, not a curated record